Molecule: ribosomal RNA, 253 nt
Filed under: uncultured bacterium
Lineage: Bacteria
Description: partial 16S ribosomal RNA
Rfam family: Bacterial small subunit ribosomal RNA
Source: RNAcentral
UACGAAGGGAGCUAGCGUUGUUCGGAAUCACUGGGCGUAAAGCGCACGUAGGCGGAUGUGUCAGUCAGGGGUGAAAUCCCGGAGCUCAACUUCGGAACUGCCUUUGAUACAGCACGUCUUGAGUCCGGAAGAGGUGGGUGGAACUCCUAGUGUAGAGGUGAAAUUCGUAGAUAUUAGGAAGAACACCGGUGGCGAAGGCGGCCCACUGGUCCGGUACUGACGCUGAGGUGCGAAAGCGUGGGGAGCAAACAGG